Molecule: non-coding RNA, 1261 nt
Organism: Cinara cedri
Lineage: Eukaryota; Metazoa; Arthropoda; Insecta; Hemiptera; Aphididae
Source: the annotation of a GenBank genome assembly
UCUGAGCGUUUUUUAAAAAUUGUUUAUAAAAACAACACCGGGAAUAUACAAAGUUGAUAUUUCGUAUAUGCUUGCAUAUUAUUUUUUCUCCAUAAAUGCAGAUUGAUUCGUAAUCCAUCGUCCUUUUUUUUAUAUAAAAAAAUAAUAAGAAAUCUACGAAUUGCGUCUCUUAAAAGGUACUUCGCGACAACCGAAUUGCGUCCACGGUAUUUUGGCUGCUGUUGCGUUCGUAAAAAUAAUAAAUUGUUAUCAUAUAUGUUCGGUGGUACAUCUACUCGUAAUGUUGGAUGUUAGACUAUUGGCCAGUCUUAUCAAUUAUUGUUACCAUAUCUGUAAAAACUAAUAAUUUAUUGAAAAAGUUUAAACAUACCAAAAAUUUUUAAAUUUAAACUAUUUAGUGAAAAUAAAUACGUGUUAAAGGAAGUAAGAUAACGGGGGCAUUUGUGCCAAAGGGCGCUCGACUAAAUAUAAAACUCGACAUUAAAUUAACAAUAUAGUUUGUUAGUUUUUGUAUUCAAAAACUUUGUUUAAAGUAAUAAUAAACAUAGUUUGGUAAUGAGAAGUGCAACCUAUAGUAACGCGUAGUAAUUAAUGAGUACCUAUUUGGAAAAAAUUCAGUACCCAUGAAGAAUCUUAUUUAAUGGAGGUAAAAUAUCGGUUUUUAAUAAAAAAAAUUGUAAAAAAAAGACUGAAAAUUUGGGUGGAGGGGAUUAACCUUUAAAUCGUCCUCAUAUAAAGCCUUAAGAGGAAACGCUUAAAAAUCGAUGUCCUUUGGCGUCAAUAAUGACUUAAAUCUGGUAUUUAUUAACGGAUACAAAUUUUCUUUCCAAACAUUUUUAAAUGAUAAAGUUCAAAGGUGACCGUGUUCAAAAUGUUUACGAUUUACAAUUUAUAAUACCUACCUGAUGUUCAUACACCUGAUUUUUAACCAUAUCGUUAGUGAAUAAAUGAUAGCCCUCGAUAUGUAAAAGUGGAAACAAAACCAUGCAUAUUAUAUCAAUUAUUAACGGGGAUGCAAAUCGAAUGUAUCGUGAGAAAAUCAUGGACGCAACUACGACAAAAUAUAAUUUUGGACGCAAUUCGAGUGCGCUGUUCGUAACAUUACAAUAAUACUGUUAGACAAAUUGUCGAAAUACAUAUGUUAAAUUUUUGGUUUUUCUUUUUAUAAAUAUAUAUAUAUAUAUAUAUAUAUAUAUAUAUAAUAUACGAAUAAAACAUACUUAAUAAUCAUAAUAAUAUUAUGGUGACAUGAUCAGUUGAG